UCCCCGAUCUCGACAUCCCUUUGACCCUUCUAGAGAUAGAAGUUUCCCCUUCGGGGGACACAGUGACAGGUGGUGCAUGGUUGUCGUCAGCUCGUGUCGUGAGAUGUUGGGUUAAGUCCCGCAACGAGCGCAACCCUUAAGCUUAGUUGCCAUCAUUAAGUUGGGCACUCUAAGUUGACUGCCGGUGACAAACCGGAGGAAGGUGGGGAUGACGUCAAAUCAUCAUGCCCCUUAUGAUUUGGGCUACACACGUGCUACAAUGGACAAUACAAAGGGCAGCGAAACCGCGAGGUCAAGCAAAUCCCAUAAAGUUGUUCUCAGUUCGGAUUGUAGUCUGCAACUCGACUACAUGAAGCUGGAAUCGCUAGUAAUCGUAGAUCAGCAUGCUACGGUGAAUACGUUCCCGGGUCUUGUACACACCGCCCGUCACACCACGAGAGUUUGUAACACCCGAAGCCGGUGGAGUAACCAUUGGAGCCAGCCGUCGAAGGUGGACAAAGUGGUC
This 505-nucleotide ribosomal RNA is filed under the name Staphylococcus hominis. RNAcentral describes it as "bacterial SSU rRNA". It matches the Rfam family "Bacterial small subunit ribosomal RNA", at positions 972 to 1476 of the family's 1533-position model. Lineage: Bacteria; Bacillati; Bacillota; Bacilli; Caryophanales; Staphylococcaceae. The record is from RNAcentral.